UUUCCGUAGGUGAACCUGCGGAAGGAUCAUUACCGAGUGAGGGCCCUCUGGGUCCAACCUCCCACCCGUGUUUAUCGUACCUUGUUGCUUCGGCGGGCCCGCCGUUCCGGCCGCCGGGGGGCAUCCGCCCCCGGGCCCGCGCCCGCCGAAGACACCAUUGAACGCUGUCUGAAGAAUGCAGUCUGAGCGAUUAGCUAAAUCAGUUAAAACUUUCAACAACGGAUCUCUUGGUUCCGGCAUCGAUGAAGAACGCAGCGAAAUGCGAUAAGUAAUGUGAAUUGCAGAAUUCAGUGAAUCAUCGAGUCUUUGAACGCACAUUGCGCCCCCUGGUAUUCCGGGGGGCAUGCCUGUCCGAGCGUCAUUGCUGCCCUCAAGCACGGCUUGUGUGUUGGGCCCCGCCCCCCGGCUACCGGGGGGCGGGCCCGAAAGGCAGCGGCGGCACCGCGUCCGGUCCUCGAGCGUAUGGGGCUUCGUCACCCGCUCUGUAGGCCCGGCCGGCGCCCGCCGGCGACCCCCCUCAAUCUUUCUCAGGUUGACCUCGGAUCAGGUAGGGAUACCCGCUGAACUUAA
This 570-nucleotide unclassified non-coding RNA is filed under the name Penicillium sp. f28743. Its description in RNAcentral is "partial contains ITS1 and 5.8S rRNA". The stretch from base 208 to 361 matches the Rfam family "5.8S ribosomal RNA". Lineage: Eukaryota; Fungi; Ascomycota; Eurotiomycetes; Eurotiales; Aspergillaceae. The record is from RNAcentral.